This 229-nucleotide ribosomal RNA is filed under the name uncultured bacterium. RNAcentral describes it as "partial 16S ribosomal RNA". It matches the Rfam family "Bacterial small subunit ribosomal RNA", at positions 568 to 796 of the family's 1533-position model. The record is from RNAcentral.
UGCGCAGGCGGAUUGAUAAGUCAGUGGUGAAAACCUUCAGCUUAACUGGAGACUUGCCAUUGAUACUGUUAGCCUUGAGUACGGUCAAGGUAGGCGGAAUGUGUAAUGUAGCGGUGAAAUGCUUAGAUAUUACACAGAACACCGAUUGCGAAGGCAGCUUACUGGGCCAUUACUGACGCUGAGGCACGAAAGCGUGGGGAGCGAACAGGAUUAGAUACCCUGGUAGUCC